RNAcentral lists this ribosomal RNA (346 nucleotides) under uncultured bacterium. RNAcentral describes it as "bacterial SSU rRNA". It matches the Rfam family "Bacterial small subunit ribosomal RNA", at positions 32 to 369 of the family's 1533-position model. The record is from RNAcentral.
AAUCAACGCUGGCGGCGUGCCUCAGACAUGCAAGUCGAACGCGAAAGUCCCCUUCGGGGGAGUGAUUAGAGUGGCGCACGGGUGAGUAACACGUAGGUAAUCUACCUUCGAGUGGGGAAGUAACUCAGGGAAACUUGAGCUAAUACCGCAUAAUGCAGCGGCACCACAUGGUGACAGUUGUUAAAGCAUUUAUGCGCUUGAAGAGGAGCCUGCGGCGGANAGCUAGUUGGUAAGGUAAUGGCUUACCAAGGCACGAUCUGUAACCGGCCUGAGAGGGCGGACGGUCACACUGACACUGAAUAACGGGUCAGACUCCUACGGGAGGCAGCAGUCGGGAAUUUUGGGC